This 96-nucleotide ribosomal RNA is filed under the name Danio rerio (zebrafish). Lineage: Eukaryota; Metazoa; Chordata; Actinopteri; Cypriniformes; Danionidae. The record is from RNAcentral.
CUCUGCAACUAUCAUAUGGUUGCCCAUUGAAGCUAAGCAGUGCCCAGUCAGUACCUGGAUGGGAGACCACAUGGGAAAGCUAGGUUGCUGCUGGAA